AGGGUUCGAUUCUGGCUCAGAUUGAACGCUGGCGGUAGGCUUAACACAUGCAAGUCGUGCGAGAAAGUAUCUUCGGAUAUGAGUAGAGCGGCGGACGGGUGAGUAACGCGUAGGAAUCUACCUAGUAGAAGGGGAUAGCCCGGGGAAACUCGGAUUAAUACCGUAUACCUCCUUCGGGAGAAAGAAGGCCUCUCUUUGAAGCUUUCGCUACUAGAUGAGCCUGCGUAAGAUUAGCUUGUUGGUGAGGUAAAGGCUCACCAAGGCCACGAUCUUUAGCGGGUCUGAGAGGACGAUCCGCCACAUUGGGACUGAGACACGGCCCAGACUCCUACGGGAGGCAGCAGUGGGGAAUAUUGGACAAUGGGCGCAAGCCUGAUCCAGCCAUACCGCGUGUGUGAAGAAGGCCCUAGGGUUGUAAAGCACUUUAAGUUGGGAAGAAAAGUUAUUGGUUAAUACCCAAUGACCGUGACAUUACCAUCAGAAUAAGGACCGGCUAAUUCCGUGCCAGCCGCCGCGGUAAUACA
Molecule: ribosomal RNA, 524 nt
Filed under: uncultured bacterium
Lineage: Bacteria
Description: bacterial SSU rRNA
Rfam family: Bacterial small subunit ribosomal RNA
Source: RNAcentral